Ribosomal RNA from Vulpes vulpes (red fox), 120 nucleotides. The record is from Ensembl. NCBI's taxonomy places the organism in Eukaryota, Metazoa, Chordata, Mammalia, Carnivora, Canidae.
GUCUAUGGCCAUACCACCCUCAAUGUGCCUGAUCUCGUCUGAUCUCGGAAGCUAAGCAAGGUGGGGCCUGGUUAGUCCUUGGAUGGGAGAAUAUAUUUCUAAAAAUCACAGCUAAUGAUA